AGUCGGCCGGACGGCCGCUCCGGCAGGUGCCGAAAGGCCGCCGGGGAGGAAAGUCCGGGCUCCCUUGACAUGCGGUGCCGGAUAACGUCCGGCGGGGGUGACCCCAGGGAAAGUGCCACAGAGAACGAACCGCUCCCUCUUCGGAGGAAGUAAGGGUGAAAAGGUGCGGUAAGAGCGCACCGCGGCGCCGGCAACGGAGCCGGCAGGGCAAACCCCACCGGGAGCAAAACCGAAUAGGGACGGCAGAUGCGGGCUGAUCGCGAAAGCGAUAACGCCGCGGGGCGAUGUCAGGCCCGCCGUCCGGGUAGGUUGCUCGAGGCCAUGUGCAAACAUGGUCCCAGAGGAAUGGCCGUCACGUAUCGUUCGUGCAAACGGGCGGUGCCCUACAGAACCCGGCUUACAGGCCGGCUGA
RNAcentral lists this RNase P RNA (412 nucleotides) under uncultured Bradyrhizobium sp. RNAcentral's name for it is "Bacterial RNase P class A". It matches the Rfam family "Bacterial RNase P class A". Rfam says of the family: Ribonuclease P (RNase P) is a ubiquitous endoribonuclease, found in archaea, bacteria and eukarya as well as chloroplasts and mitochondria. Its best characterised activity is the generation of mature 5'-ends of tRNAs by cleaving the 5'-leader elements of precursor-tRNAs. Lineage: Bacteria; Pseudomonadati; Pseudomonadota; Alphaproteobacteria; Hyphomicrobiales; Nitrobacteraceae. The record is from RNAcentral.